Molecule: long non-coding RNA, 710 nt
Organism: Polistes canadensis
Lineage: Eukaryota; Metazoa; Arthropoda; Insecta; Hymenoptera; Vespidae
Exons: 3
Source: RefSeq, a predicted model, not a curated record
AUAGAAAUUUUUACCACCAGAGAACGCUUUUGUAACACUAAAGAAAGAUUAUGUUCUAAAGAUACCUCAUCAUUCCUAGUAUAUUGUAUUUUUCGUGUAGCAUCUCUGCAGCUUGAUGGAAAGUUCCACGAAGAUUAGUUUUUUAUUUAUAUUUACAUAAUCACAUAUUUCUAAAAAUGCAUCGAUAUUUUAAUAAUUAUAUAUUAUUAUUAAUAUAACAAAUUUUAUUUUGAACAAACCGCGAAUUUUGUUUUCUUUCAAAAGGUAGUGAAAAUGAGUAGUAAUAUUUCAACCACGUGUUCGACCCUACUGUCGAUGCAUAUGCAAUUCUUAAUCGUUAAACAUCAGAAUUUAUAUAAAUUCUAUCAUUAUAAUGCUUCCUGAAAAAGGCAGCUGCAUGUUUACAGGGUAAUGAACUAAAUAAAGCGCCGUCUUAACAAGACUCAAAUGGCACUGUUUGAUUUUAAAUUAAAGAAAAAGGUGCAGUAACACUGGAAAUCUGUACAAAAUUAUAUCAAAGAUUUCGAAAUGGCGACUUUGAUCUUUCUGGUCGAGAAUGUUCCGGAGAGCUAAGAAAAUUUGAAGACGAAAAAAUCAGCAAAAAGGAUUCGGCAGUUGCCCAAAAGAUGGGCUAAAGUCAUUGAAAAUAAUUGAGAUUAUUUUGAAUAAUAAUAUAUGUAUGAUUACUUUAGAAAUAAAUAGUAAAUUUU